Molecule: ribosomal RNA, 765 nt
Filed under: uncultured bacterium
Lineage: Bacteria
Description: bacterial SSU rRNA
Rfam family: Bacterial small subunit ribosomal RNA
Source: RNAcentral
AAUACAUGCAAGUCGAACGGAGCUUUGUAUUCGUACGAAGCUUACUGGCGAACGGGUGAGUAACGCGUUGGUGACCUGCCCCGAAGAGAGGGACAACAGCUCGAAAGGGCUGCAUAUACCUCUAGUGGUCGUAAGGGUUAGAGGCCUGUACGCUCUAAGUGGAGUAAUCCGCUUCUGGAGGGGCCUGCGUCCCAUCAGCUUGUUGGUAGGGUAACGGCCUAUCAAGGCGACGACGGGUAGGGGACCUGAGAGGGUGACCCCCCACAUUGGCACUGAAACACGGGCCAGACACCUACGGGUGGCAGCAGUAGGGAAUAUUGCACAAUGGGCGAAAGCCUGAUGCAGCAACCCCGCGUGCACGAUGAAGGCCUUCAGGUCGUAAAGUGCUUUUCGGGGAGAUGAGGAAGGACAGUAUCCCCGGAAUAAGGAUCGGCUAACUACGUGCCAGCAGCCGCGGUAAAAUGUAGGAUCCGAGCGUUAUCCUAAUUUACUGGGCGUAAAGCGCGUGUAGGCGGUUCGGUAAAUUUGAUGUGAAAUCUCCUGGCUCAAAUGGGAGAGGUCGUUCAAUACUGUCGGAAUAGAGGGUGGUAGAGGGAGGUGGAAUUCCCGGUGUAGUGGUGAAAUGCGUAGAUAUCGGGAGGAACACCAGUGGCGAAAGCGGCCUCCUAGACCGCUCCUGACGCUCAGACGUGAAAGCUAGGGGAGCAAACGGGAUUAGAAACCCCCGUAGUCCUAGCUGUAAACGAUGUGGACUUGGCGUUGGUG